UGGUUCGUGUAGGUGUAAGAGCCCUGUGGU
RNAcentral lists this non-coding RNA (30 nucleotides) under Rattus norvegicus (Norway rat). Lineage: Eukaryota; Metazoa; Chordata; Mammalia; Rodentia; Muridae. The record is from RNAcentral.